This 1705-nucleotide ribosomal RNA is filed under the name Vairimorpha bombi. RNAcentral's name for it is "bacterial SSU rRNA". The stretch from base 1 to 1245 matches the Rfam family "Microsporidia small subunit ribosomal RNA". The record is from RNAcentral. Lineage: Eukaryota; Fungi; Microsporidia; Nosematidae.
CCAGGUUGAUUCUGCCUGACGUAGACGCUAUUCCCUAAGAUUAACCCAUGCAUGUUUUUGAAGAUUAUUAUCUGAAAAAUGGACUGCUCAGUAAUACUCACUUUAUUUUAUGUGCACCGCAGAUAACUACGUUAAAGUGUAGAUAACAUGUGUACAGUAAGAGUGAGACCUAUCAGCUAGUUGUUANGGUAAUGGCUUAACAAGGCAGUGACGGGUAACGGUAUUACUUUGUAAUAUUCCGGAGAAGGAGCCUGAGAGACGGCUACUAAGUCUAAGGAUUGCAGCAGGGGCGAAACUUGACCUAUGGAUUUUAUCUGAGGCAGUUAUGGGAAGUAAUAUAUUAUUGUUUCAUAUUUUAAAAAUAUAUGAGGUGAUUAAUUGGAGGGCAAAUCAAGUGCCAGCAGCCGCGGUAAUACUUGUUCCAAGAGUGUGUAUGAUGAUUGAUGCAGUUAAAAAGUCCGUAGUUUAUUUUUAAGAAGCAAUAUGAGGUGUACUGUAUAGUUGGGAGAGAGAUGAAAUGUGACGACCCUGACUGGACGAACAGAAGCGAAAGCUGUACACUUGUAUGUAUUUUUUGAACAAGGACGUAAGCUGGAGGAUCGAAGAUGAUUAGAUACCAUUGUAGUUCCAGCAGUAAACUAUGCCGACGAUGUGAUAUGAGUAUUUGUAUUACAUAGUAGAAAUUAGAGUUUUUUGGCUCUGGGGAUAGUAUGAUCGCAAGAUUGAAAAUUAAAGAAAUUGACGGAAGAAUACCACAAGGAGUGGAUUGUGCGGCUUAAUUUGACUCAACGCGAGGUAACUUACCAAUAUUUUAUUAUUCUGAGAGAAUCCUGAUUCGAGAAUGAUAAUAGUGGUGCAUGGCCGUUUUCAAUGGAUGCUGUGAAGUUUUGAUUAAUUUCAACAAGACGUGAGACCCUUUUAUAUAGACAGACACAAUCAGUGUAGGAAGGAAAGGAUUAAAACAGGUCCGUUAUGCCCUCAGACAUUUUGGGCUGCACGCGCAAUACAAUAGAUAUACAGUCUUUAUGGGAUAAUAUUUUGUAAGAGAUAUUUGAACUCGGAAUUGCUAGUAAAUUUUAUUGAAUAAGUAGAAUUGAAUGUGUCCCUGUUCUUUGUACACACCGCCCGUCGCUAUCUAAGAUGAUAUAUGCUGUGAAAUUAGUGCAAACUACUUGAACAAUAUGUAUUAGAUCUGAUAUAAGUCGUAACAUGGUUGCUGUUGGAGAACCAUUAGCAGGAUCAUAAUCAGGAAGUAUAAGUUUGUUUGUAUGUCAUUACCCACACAUGGGAUCAAUAGGAUACCAUAACGAUGAAGGUCGUAGUAGAAUACGAAAGUAUACUUACCGAAUUUAUAUUCUAGUAUAGAUUACCCUUUGAACUUAAGCAUAUCAUUAGAAGGAGGAAAAGAAACUAACUAGGAUUUCUUUAGUAGCAGCGAGUGAACAAGAAUCAACCCUUGAUUGUAAUCCUUUACUGGAGAUGUAAAUCACUGUUUUAUUACUUAUUUAUAAAGAAUAUGUAUUAUUCGUCAGCAANAAAAUAGUAAAUGUUUUUGAGUAGGGCUGCUUGGUAGUGCAGUUUGAAUACAGGUAGAAUGAGAUAUCUAAGGUUAAAUAUAAUGGUAUACCGAUAGCAAAUAAGUACUGCGAAGGAAUUUGUGAAAAUGUGUGGGAUGUAGCCUUAUUUUUAAGGACCCGUCUUGAAA